Molecule: ribosomal RNA, 492 nt
Filed under: uncultured bacterium
Lineage: Bacteria
Description: bacterial SSU rRNA
Rfam family: Bacterial small subunit ribosomal RNA
Source: RNAcentral
GACGAACGCUGGCGGCGUGGAUUGGGCAUGCAAGUCGAACGGUAGGAUACCUUCGGGUAUCUGAGAGUGGCGAACGGGUGAGUAACACGUAGGUGAUCUACCCUCAAGAUUGGGACAACCCAGGGAAACUUGGGCUAAUACCGGAUGAAAGCAGCAGUGAUGUUGUUUGAAAGGUGGCGUAAGCUGCCGUUUGGGGAUGAGCCUGCGCUCUAUUAGUUAGUUGGCGGGGUAAAGGCCCACCAAGGCGAUGAUAGAUAGGCGGCCUUAACGGGUGGUCGCCCACACUGGGAUUGAGAUACGGCCCAGACUCCUACGGGAGGCAGCAGUCGAGAAUAGUCUACAAUGGCCGAAAGGCUGAUAGUGCGACGCCGCGUGAACGAAGAAGCCCUUCGGGUGUAAAGUUCUUUUAUAUGUGAGCAGUGCUUUCUAUGUGAACAGCAUGGGGAGAGAGAUAUUAGCAUAUGAAUAAGCAACGGCUAACUCCGUGCCAGC